GUGGGGAAUAUUGGACAAUGGGCGCAAGACUGAUCCAGCCAUGCCGCGUGAGUGAUGAAGGCCUUAGGGUUGUAAAGCUCAUUCAGUGGGGACGAUAAUGACGGUACCCACAGAAGAAGCCCCGGCUAACUUCGUGCAAGCAGCCGCGGUAAUACGAAGGGGGCUAGCGUUGUUCGGAUUUACUGGGCGUAAAGCGCACGUAGGCGGAUCGGUAAGUCGGGGGUGAAAUCCUGGAGCUCAACUCCAGAACUGCCUUCGAUACUGGCGAUCUUGAGUCCGGAAGAGGUGAGUGGAACUCCUAGUGUAGAGGUGGAAUUCGUAGAUAUUAGGAAGAACACCAGUGGCGAAGGCGGCUCACUGGUCCGGUACUGACGCUGAGGUGCGAAAGCGUGGGGAGCAAACAGGAUUAGAAACCCGUGUAGUCC
RNAcentral lists this ribosomal RNA (425 nucleotides) under uncultured bacterium. RNAcentral describes it as "bacterial SSU rRNA". It matches the Rfam family "Bacterial small subunit ribosomal RNA", at positions 354 to 796 of the family's 1533-position model. The record is from RNAcentral.